Molecule: ribosomal RNA, 848 nt
Filed under: uncultured archaeon
Lineage: Archaea
Description: bacterial SSU rRNA
Rfam family: Archaeal small subunit ribosomal RNA
Source: RNAcentral
GCUAUUGGAGUUCGAUUAAGCCAUGCGAGUCGAGAGUCCUCGGGACUCGGCGUACCGCUCAGUAACACGUGGGUAACCUGCCCUAUGCUGGGGAAUAACCUCGGGAAACUGAGAAUAAUGCCCCAUAGCCCACUACGCCUGGAACGGUGAGUGGGUCAAAGCUCCGGCGGCAUAGGAUGGGCCUGCGCCGUAUCAGGUUGUAGGGGGUGUAAAGUACCCUCUAGCCAUCAACGCGUACGGGUGUUGGGAGACAUUGCCCGGAGAUGGAUUCUGAGACACGAAUCCAGACCCUACGGGGUGCAGCAGGCGCGAAAACUUGGCAAUGCGAGCAAUCGUGACCAGGGAACUCCAAGUGCGUAGGGUAAGACCUACGCUUUUCUUGACUCUUCAAAGGUCUUGGAAUAAGGGGUGGGUAAGGACGGUGCCAGCCGCCGCGGUAAUACCGGCGCCUCAAGUGGUAGUCGCUUUUAUUGGGCCUAAAACGUCCGUAGCCGGUCUGGUACAUUCGUGGGUAAAUCAACCCGCUCAACGGGUUGAAUUCUGCGAGCACGGCCAGACUUGGGACCGGGAGAGGUGUGGGGUACUCUCAGGGUAGGGGUAAAAUCCUGUCAUCCUGAGAGGACCACCUGUUGCGAAGGCGCCACACUAGAACGGAUCCGACGGUCAGGGACGAAACCUAGGGGCACGAACCGGAUUAGAUACCCGGGUAGUCCUAGGUGUAAACGCUGUGGACUUGAUGUUGGGGGCGCUCCGAGCGCUCUCAGUGUCGAAGCGAAGGUGAUAAGUCCACUGCCUGGGGAGUACGGUCGCAAGGCCGAAACUUAAAGGAAUUGGCGGGGGAGCACUGC